GUCUGUAUGUCUGUUUUGCUACCAGUACCACACUGUUCGGUCACAAUGCCCUCCUCUGUGGUACCCUUGAGGUGCGUGGGUCCCCAAGUGAAGCCUGUUCAUGGACCCCUAGUGGUGGCAGGCCAUGCCCACCUUUGGAGUCAGUGAUAACUGUGGUGAUUUGCCCCCACCUUCUGUAGACCAUGCAAGAAGCACCUCGUACAGCUUAGCCCCCAUAGGAGGUGCUGCACCAGCUGCUCUUAGAUGUAAAUUCCUGGGAAGGGACAGUGAUCUAGUGUCUGGGCACUGCCCAGAGCAUUUGGCAGUGGCAGCAGCUGGGCAGGUGUGCUCCCAGGGGAGAGAGAGCAACCACAGGUGGUAUUCCAUCACAGUAUCCUCCUCUGUGGUGCCCUCUGAGGUGGUUGGGGCUGCAAGUGGUUUUUGUUCAGGGAUCCCCAGUUGGCGGUGGGCCACGUCCACCUCUGGAGUCAGAGAUAACUGCAGUGGUUUGCCCAAGCCACCUGCAGACCACGCAAGAAGCACCUCAUUCCCCUUAGCCCAUGCAGAAGUGCUGCACCAGCUGCUCCUAGUUGUAGGGUCUUGGGAAGGGACAGUGAUCAAGCAGCUGAGUGCUGCCCAAAGCGUUUGGCAGUGGCAGCUGCAGGGCAGGUGUGUUCCCAGGGGGGUGAGAGCAAUAAAGUGUGGUGCUUGGUUGCAGUGCCCUAUUUUUUCUUUUUUGCCGACUCCUAAGGUGACUGGGGCCACAGGUGGAGCCCACUCACAGGCCCUAAGUGGUGGCAGGCCAUGCCUCCCUCUGGCCUCUGAGAGGACUGCCAGUCUGUCCCUGCUGCCUGUAGAUCAUACAAGAGGCCCCACUUAGCACUUAGCCCCCUGCUGCCCUUAGCCCACACAAGAGCUUCAGGCCAUCUGAAGCCUGCACAAGAAGCACCUGGCCUCCCAUGGCCUGAGCAAGUGGCUUCUCACCACCCGCAGCAGGAACCAGGGGCACUCCGUCCUCUGAGAGCGCGUGUGCACAUGCGCAGGGAGGUUCUUAUGGCGAUCUUCCCCUCCUCCUCUCACCCUGCCCAGUAAUGGCGCCUUGCUUCUCCUGUGGGCCCAGACCUUCUCCCGCGUUCCCUCUGCCAUGGCGUUCCCCUCCCCAGCCCAUAGCACAUCACUUCCCUGCCCGUGGUGCAGUGCUCCUUUGCCCCUCAGGCUGUCCCCACAUACCCAGCCCCAGUCCUCUUCCCAGGACUGACCUCCCGAGCCUGAGUCUCAACGCCCAGCCACCCCCCGCCCCCAGCGCUUCAGUCUGUGGUGUCCAGGCUGGUGGUGCAGAUGAUCUGUGCAGCUCUCACUCUGCUUUGCCCUCCUCAGUCCAGCUGCUGUGCUUUUCUCCGCGACUUCGAGGUCCCUCCGGCUCGGCUGAUCUCCAGGUAGGUUAGGUGGUUUCACAGGGGGUGGGUUUCCUUUUCUCCCUCACUUCUCCCUUUCAGGAAUGCUGGUCCCGCCCGGAUUCCUUUUCUCUCUCUUUUUCUUUUGUUCUACACAGUUAUGUCAAGAGUUUCUUGCCCUUUUUGGAGGUUUAAGUUCUUCUGCCAGCAUUCACAGAUGUUCUGGGUGAGUCGUUUUACAUGUAGAUGUGUUUUUUUGAUGUGUUUGUGGGGGAAGGUGAGCGCGUCCUCUGACUCCGCCGCCAUCUUGCUCCGCCUCUCAGCUUUCUUUUUAUAAGGUUCUGGGAUUAUAGCUGUUAUUUGAAAGACAGUCUUUCCAGAAGGAUAUUAACCUUAACCUGAAGUGAAACGUCUAGAGAUUUUAAUAUAACCUGUUUUGUUAUCAGUAUGUUAAAAUUAAUCCAUACUUUCUAUUUUGACUUUCUUAUUCAAGAUUUUUUAAUAAUAAAGUUUACCCCUUUAUGUAAUUAAAUUAGUCCUUCAUCUUCCCACUCCCUUUGAGUUUAUUGUUCUGUUGUCAGAGAAGAUAUUAUGUACUGUUCUACUUUUUGAAGCAUGUCCAUGUAUUUGUUUUACCAGGUCAGUUUCUUAAAUUUUCACAAUAAUUGCAAAGAAGUUAAUUUUUCUUACAGGCAGACAUAGGUUAUGUAUGUCAUUUAUUUAGUCUCUCAAAAUCCUCAUUUUGGUUACUCAAUCUCUUCUGACAGCUAUAAAGUAAUAUUUUCUUUUUACAUCACAUUUUUGUAGAUUUCUCUUACACUUUCUUGUUUCAAUUUAAAUAUUUUCACUGAUACAUCAUUAUUAUGUAUAGAUAUCAGAUAUAUUAUUUUUAAUAUAACAUUUAGAAAAUGUCUUAAGUCUACUUUGGGUACCUGGAAACUGCUGGGUGGCAGUGCUGGGUUUUUGUUGUUUUUUAAGGCCUCAUCUCUGGCAUGUGGAAGUUUCUGGGCUAGGGGUCAAACGAGCUAUAGUUGUAGGCCUACAUCACAGCCACAGCAACACCACACCUGAGCCGCAUCUGUGACCUACGCUGCAGCUUUUGGCAAUGCCAGAUCCUUAACCCACUGAGCAAAGCCAGGGACCAAAUCUGCAUCCUCAUGGACACUAUGUCACAUUCUUAGCCCACUGAGCCACAACAGAAACUCCAGCAGUGCUGUUUAAGAUGGGCUACCUGAGCCUGGUCCAGGACCCAAAGGGGCCCCCAGCUCUGGCUUCUCCCCUGUGUCUCUUUCCUUCUUUCUUACCUGUACCAGACAUGGGGUCCUCCAGAUACCCUGAGGAGCUCUUAGCUUUGCAUCCUUGGCAUUAUUUUGGUACCCCCAUUUGCAGGGGGGAUGCCGGGCAAAUAUCUCUCUCUGAUCAGCAAUAUUUAUUUCCUGGGUAUAUAUGAAACUGAGCCACCAGAAUGGUGCUGGCUUCUUAAUUUUGGGUGAUUCAAGUUUUUCAUAAGACAGGGGUCCCAUGAAAGAUAUUUGCCAGGGAUCCCAGGCACCUUAGGGGGUGUCUUGCUCUUAAGCCCCUGUUAGUUGUUUCCCUUGAACACAAAGUGCAUAAAAAGUAGAAAGGAAAGGAGAAAGGCAAUCUUUGACAAUAAAACUUGCAAUAGAAAACUACUUUUGUUCUUAAGAAUUUAGCAAUAAAUUAAGUAUUCUUUUAAGCUGAACAAGAAUUUAUUUUUCUCUAGGUAGUGGAAUGAUGAUUCAUAUGCAACACAUCCUUAGGCCAAAGCUGUGUCCUAAAUGUAAAUCAAUUCUGAUAAUAAAGUUUUAUCAGUUUAUUCAGAAAGAUCCUCCUAGAAGGUAUCAAUCACAUCUCAUCUUUAUAUAAAAGUUUAAUAUUUCUUUGAGUUUAUAUUCUUCAUAUAUAACUUUGUUUAUGCAGUUUUCCCCAAUAAAGUUUCCAAAUGAAUAAAUUGUGAAGGAUGAAACACAUUAUCAGAAUGAACUGAACUUUUUUCCUGCAAUAGAUAUAUAUAUGUAUACACAUAUAUUUGCUUUAUAUCCCUUAAGAAGUGAUGAAUUCAAAUCUUUGAGAAUCCAAAGGAAUUUCUGGAUACGUUUAUCAUAAAUGUUUGGGAUUUUAUUUACUUUUAUUUAUUUAUUUUUUCAUUAUAGCUGGUUUACAGUGUUCUGCCAAUUUUCUACUGUACAGCAAAGUGACCCAGUUACACAUAAAAGUAUACAAUCUUUUUUCUCACAUUAUCAUGUUCCAUCAUAAGUGACUAGACAUAGUUCCCAGUGCUACACAGCAGGAUCUCAUUGCUCAUCCAUUCCAAAAUCUGCAUCUAUUAACCUCAAGUUCCCAGUCCAUCCCACUCCCUCCCCAUCCCCCCUUAGCAACCACAAGUCUAUUCUCCAAGUCCAUGAGUUUCUUUUCUGUGGAAAGGUUCAUUUCUGCCAUAUAUUAGAUUCUAGAUAUAAGUGAUGUCAUAUGGUAUUUGUCUUUCUCGUUCUGACUCACUUCACUCAGUAUGAGAGUCUCUAGUUCCAUCCAUGUUGCUGCAAAUGGCAUUAUUUUGUUCUUGUUUAUGGCUGAGUAGUAUUCUAUUGUGUAUAUAUACAGCAUCUUCCUAAUCCAUUCAUCUGUUGAUGGACAUUUGGGUUGUUUUCAUGUCUUGGCUAUUGUGAAUAGUGCUGCGAUGAACAUGUGGGGGUAUGUGUCUUUUUUAAGGAAAGUAUUGUCUGGUUAGAUGUCCAAGAGUGGGAUUGCUGGGUCAUAUGGUACUUCUUUAUAUAGUUUUCUAAGGUACCUCUAUGCUGUUUACAUUCCCACCAACAGUGCAGGUGGGUUCCCUUUUCUCCACACCCCCUCCAGCAUUUGUUAUUUGUGGACUUAUUAAUGAUGGCCAUUCUGACUGGUGUGAGGUGGUACCUCAUAGUAGUUUUGAUUUGCAUUUCUCUAAUAACCAGGAAUGUUGAGCAUUGUUUCAAGUGCUUGUUGGCCAUCUGUAUAUCUUCUUUGGAAAAAUGUCUUUUCAGGUCUUUUUGCCCAUUUUUCCAUUGGGUUGUUGGCUUUUUUGCUGUUGAGUUGUAUACGUUGUUUGUAUAUUUUAGAGAUGAAGCCUUUGUCAGUUGCAUCCUUUGAAACAAUUUUCUCCCAUUCCGUAAGUUGUCUUUUUAUUUUCUUUUUGGUUUCUUUUGCUGUGCAAAAGCUUGUAGUUUGAUCAGGUCCCACUGGUUUAUUUUUGCUUUUAUUUCAGUUGCUUUGGGAGACUGACCUGAGAAAAUGUUCACGAGGUUGAUGUCAGAGAAUGUGUUGCCUAUGUUCUCUUCUAGGAGUUUGGUGGUGUCUUGUCUUAUAUUUAAGUCUUUCAGCCAUUUUGAGUUUAUUUUUGUGCAUGGUAUGAGGGUGUGUUCUAGUUUCAUUGAUUUGCAUGCAGCUGUCCAGGUUUCCCAGCAAUGCUUGCUGAAAAGACUUGUUUUUUUCCCCAUUUUAUAUUCUUGCCUCCUUUGUCAAAGAUUAAUUGACCAUAGGUGUCAGGGUUUUUUUCUGGGUUCUCUCUUCUGUUCCAUUGGUCUGUAUGUCUGUUUUGGUACCAGUACCACCCUGUCCUGAUGACUGUGGCUUUGUAAUAUUGCUUGAAGUCUGGGAGAGUUAUGCCUCCUGCUUGAUUUUUAUUCCUCAGAAUUGCUUUAGCAAUUCUCAGUCUAGGUGGUUUCAUAUAAAUUUUUGGAUGGUUUGUUCUAGUUCUGUGAAGAAUGUCAUUGGUAAUUUGAUAGAGAUUGUGUUGAAUCUGUGUAGAUUGUUUUAGGUAAUAUGGCCAUUUUUACAGUAUUAAUUUUUCUGACCCAUGAGCACGGAAUAUCUUUCCAUUUCUUUACAUCUUCUCAUCUUCUUUAAUUUCCUUGAUUAAUUUUUUUUUUAGUUGCAGUGUUUAUUUCUGGUUCUCUCUUGUUUUUUUUUGUUUUUUUUUGUUUUUUUUUUUUUUUGCCACACAGGCAGUAUGUGGGAAUUCCUGGGCCAGGGAUUGAACCUACGCCGCACAGCAGCAGGAGCCUCAACCCGCUAGGCCAUCAGAGAACUACCGAUUAAUGUUUUGUAGUUCUCAGCAUAAAAGUCUUUCACAUCCUUGAUCAGGUUUAUUCCCUGGUAUUUGAUUUUUGGUGGUGCCAUUUUAAAAGGUAUUGUAUUUUUGUAUUCCUUUUCUAAAAUUUCAUUGUUAAUAUACGGAAAUGCGUCUGAUUUCUGAAUGUUAACAUUCUAUCCUGAUAAUUUGCUGAAUUUGUUGAUCAGUUCAAGUAGUUUUUGGGUUGAGUCCUUAGGGUUUUCUGUAUAUAGUAUCAUGUCAUGUGCAUACAGUGACAGUUUUACCUCUUCUUUUCCUAUUUGGAUGCCUUUGUUUGUUUGUUUGUUUGUCUGAUUGCUUUGGCUAGGACUUCCAGUACUGUGUUGAAUAACAGUGGUGAGAGUGGGCAUCCUUGUCUUGUUCCAGAUUUUAGUGGGAAGGCUUUCAGCUUUUCUCCAUUGAGUAUUAUAUUUGCAGUGGAUAAUAUCUGGAAUUUUAAAAAUUAUCACACAUGUUCACAAAAAAGGAAAAUCUAAAAUAUCUAAAGCAGGAGUUCCCUUGUGGUGAAAUGGGUUAAGGAUCUGGCAUUGUCAGUGCAGUAGCUCAGUCACUUCUGUGGCAUGGGUUUCAGUCCCCGGUCCAGGAACUUCCAGAUGCUGUCCGUGUGGCAAAAAAAUAAAAUAUAAACAAGCUAAAAUAAAAUAAAACAAAAUAUCUAAGGUAGCUCUGCAGGAAGGAUCAUAGUCCCUGCUCAGGAGAGGCAGGAAUAUAUCUUGGUAGAAUAUGUUUUCUGAUGGUUUUGCUGAAAGCUGAAGCUCUUUUACCCUUUAAGACCUUGGAUCAUGACCACUCUUCUUAACAACAACAACAAAAAAAGUACAGAAUUUAUCAAGACUUGUCAUUUGGUGAGAUUUUCUUAAAUUGAUGAAAUCUGAAUCAAAUUGGAAAUUCAGAAAGAGAGAGAAGAGAAAGCAAUUACAAGAAAAACAAUGAAAGCAUCAUUUCAAUUUUGUCUGGAAACUGCAAAAAUCACCAAUGUGCAUUUGCCAGCAAUAGCUGUCAAAAUUUUCCUUAAUGUAUUUUGUCAUCAAAGAUUAUUUAAAUGGCAGUUCUCAUUUUGCAUUUUAGUUCCUACCAUCAUCGAUGGCCAUAAUCCCAAUUAUCUGCUUCAUAAAAUAAACACGGAGUUUCCUUCAUGGCUCAGUGGUUAACAAACCUGACUAGGAUCCAUGAGAAUGCAGGUUGGAUCCCUGGCCUUGUUCAGUGGGUUAAGGAUCUAGUGUUGCCGAGAGCUGUGGUGUGGGUCACAGACGCGGCUCAGAUUCUGCAUGUCUGUGGCUGUGAUGUAGGCCAGCAGCUAUAGCUCCGAUUCGACCCCUAGUCUGGGAACUUCCAUAUGCUGCAGGUUUGGCC
This 6852-nucleotide long non-coding RNA is filed under the name Sus scrofa (pig). Its description in RNAcentral is "lncRNA (ENSSSCG00065039339.1)". The record is from RNAcentral. Lineage: Eukaryota; Metazoa; Chordata; Mammalia; Artiodactyla; Suidae.